RNAcentral lists this ribosomal RNA (1300 nucleotides) under uncultured bacterium. Its description in RNAcentral is "bacterial SSU rRNA". It matches the Rfam family "Bacterial small subunit ribosomal RNA", at positions 81 to 1428 of the family's 1533-position model. The record is from RNAcentral.
AAUUAUAUUUGAGAGUGGCGAACGGGUGAGUAACACAUUGGCACAUGCCUCGAACUCAGGGAUAACACAUCUAACGGUGUGCUAAUACCGGAUGGUCCCGAAAGGGUAAAGAUUUUUCGGUUCGAGAGUGGCCUGUGGCCUAUCAGCUUGUUGGUGAGGUAAUGGCUUACCAAGGCUAUGACGGGUAGCUGGUCUGAGAGGAUGAUCAGCCACAAUGGGACUGAGACACGGCCCAUACUCCUACGGGAGGCAGCAGUAGGGAAUCUUCCACAAUGGACGAAAGUCUGAUGGAGCAAUACCGCGUGAACGAUGAAGGUCUAACGAUUGUAAAGUUCUUUUCUGAGGGAAGAAUUAUGACGGUACCUCAGGAAUAAGCACCGGCUAACUCCGUGCCGGCAGCCGCGGUAAUACGGAGGGUGCAAGCGUUACCCGGAAUUAUUGGGCGUAAAACGUCCGCAGGCGGUUUAUUAAGUCGAAUGUUAAAGGCUUGGGCCCAACUCAAGUAAUGUGUUCGAAACUAAUAAACUAGAGCAUUUCAGAGGUGCGUGGAAUUCUGUGAGUAGGGGUUAAAUCCGUAGAUACACAGAGGAACACCAAAAGUGAAGACAGCGCACUGGGAAAUUGCUGACGCUCAUGGACGAAAGCGUAGGUAGCGAACAGGAUUAGAUACCCUGGUAGUCUACGCCGUAAACGAUGGAUACUAGGUGUUGGAGGACUCAACCCCUUCAGUGCCGACGCUAACGCAUUAAGUAUCCCGCCUGAGUAGUACGGUCGCAAGAUUAAAACUCAAAGGAAUAGACGGGGACCCACACAAGCGGUGGAGCAUCUUGCUUAAUUCGACUAUAAGCGGGGAACCUCACCUAGGUUUGACAUCUAAAGAAUCUGUCGGAAACGAUAGAGUGCCUUCGGGAACUUUAUGACAGGUGCUGCAUGGUCGUCGUCAGCUCGUGCCUUGAGGUGUUCGGUUAAGUCCGUAAACGAGCGCAACCCAUGUCCUAUGUUGUAUUUUUCAUAGGAGACUGCCGAUUAAAAGUCGGAGGAAGGUAUGGAUGACGUCAGAUCAGCAUGGCCCUUAUACCUAGGGCUGCAAAGAUGCUACAAUGGUUGGUACAACGGGAAGCAAUGUCGUAAGACGGAGCAAAUCCUAAUAAAGCCAAUCUCAGUUCGGAUUGAGGUCUGCAAUCGACCUCAUGAAGUUGGAAUCGCUAGUAACCGCAGAUCAGCCACGCUGCGGUGAAUAUGUUCCUGGGUCUUGUACUCACCGCCCGUCACACUAUGGGAGAUGGGAGCACCCGAAAUA